Long non-coding RNA from Coregonus clupeaformis (lake whitefish), 2110 nucleotides. RefSeq lists it as uncharacterized. The transcript is spliced from 2 exons. The record is from RefSeq and is a predicted model, not a curated record. Lineage: Eukaryota; Metazoa; Chordata; Actinopteri; Salmoniformes; Salmonidae.
UUUAAAUGUCGUGCACUCCAUUUACAGUAAACUCCACUCCUGGGGCCUCAUGUACAAAGACUUGCGUUGAAUUCAUACUAAAACAUUGCGUACGGACAAAGCCAUAAAUGUGCGUACGCACCAAAAAAAUCUGAUGUAUGAAUCUCUGCGUACGCAGCAUUCCACAUACAUUCUCUUUGUACAUCCCAAUCAACGCGAAAUUGAGCACACAUGCACGAGCACCACACCACACCCUGUCUCCUCCCUCAAUUAAAUCAAUUUAAAUAUGGUAAUUAGUCCAAUUUGGCAAAAGAAACCUGCAAGAACAUGGCUAAAGCAAGCAAGAAACGAAAUUUCACUGAAAACGAAUUAGAGGUGCUACUAUCAGAGGUAGAAACAAGAAAAAAUAUUUUAUUUGGAAAUCUGUCCUCUGGAAUUAAUAACAAAAGAAAGAAAAAAGAGUGGGCGAGUUUGUCUGAUGCCGUCAACGCGGUGGGAUCUGAGAGUCGCACCGUAAAUAAACUGAAGAAGAAAUGGUCAGACAUAAAGGUGGAAGUUAAGCGGAGAACUGCUGCGCACCGACAAAGUGUGGGCAGAACAGGCGGUGGUACAGGGACCGAUGAACUUGCACCCUUUGAUCAGAGAGUUGCCUCUAUUGUAGGAGACACGUUAAUCUCUGGAAUCGUAUCCGCUGAUGUAGGAGACUCGGAUAUACUACAGGACUGCCAGCAAGGAACCGCAGGAACGUCCACUGGCACGCACUCAGAGUCCGCACCACCUGAGCAGCCAGAGCCCAUUCAGUCCAGCGUCUCCCGUGUCUCUAAUGUUCCCCCCAGUGCUGAAGCCCGUCCAUCUGGCCGUGUCUUGACGCAUGCUGUUCUGGAGUCACAACAACAAAUUGUUAGGGCCAUUGAAGAAAUGAACAGUCACCUUAAAAAUGUCACUGAAAAAACUCACAGAAAUAAGCCAUUCAUUAAAAGAAUUGGUCAAAAAAUGAACUUUGUGUCUGAGUACCAUUUAUAUUGUCGCAAUUACACGUUGACGGGCCUGAAUGGCUUGUUGAUUGUGCUGCACAUAUACUGGUCCUGGGUCAGGGUCAUCUGGCGGUGCCCCCACCUCACCAAGGGGUAUGCCAUGCCUGUGCGCGACAUUGUGCAGCACUCCACAGGCCAGUAUGAUGCGGCAAACCUUGUCAGGGCGGUAUAACAGCAUCCCCCGGUCCUGUCAAGGCAGCGCCACCGACAUUUCAGCUGCCCAAUCGCCCGCUCCACAACUGACCGAGUGCGGGAAUGGGCAUCAUUGUAUCUGCGCUCUCGGUCAGUUUGUGGGUUGGUGAGGGGGGUUAACAGCCACGUCUUUAGUGGAUAACCACUGUCUCCUGAUGGGCAGUAAUAAUAAUGACAGACACAAACAUUUUACUUUUAGAUAGAACCAUACAUUUAAAUGCAUAACUUACCAAGUAGCCACCCAUCGCGCACCCUGCCAGCUUGGAGUCUCAUCCCAACCAUGCUGUUUGUAAGGAUAUAUGAAUCAUGGGUUGACCCAGGCCACCUUGCCACAAUAUUUGUUAGGCGCAUUUGUGCAUCACAUAUAAUCUGCACAUUUAUUGAAUGGAAAUGUUUCCGAUUCACAUAUGCAAAUUCGUCUUCAGAUGGCGCCUUUAUAGCAAUAUGUGUGCAGUCGAUCGCUCCGAUUACAUUAGGAAAACCGGCUAUCGCUGCAAAUUGCGCUUUGAUGUUUGGCUGGUCACCUGCAUCGUAUGGGAACGUUAUAUACCUGGUAGACAAGCGGAUGAUGCCGUCCCAUACAGGUGGCAUUGCACGGCUCAAACACGACUGGCUUAUUCCUGAGCGGUCUGCCAGUUCUCUUUGGAAAGAACCGGUUGCUAGGAAACCAAGUGUAGUAAGCACCUGUAAAGGAACGGGUAAUGCGUGGCUCCUCACUGUCUCUCUUUCCAAAUUCGGACCCAACUCAGCGCAGAGCUCCAAGAGUAUAGCCCUUGGAAAUCUGAAACGGCUGAUGAGCCAGUCAUCGUCGUGGGCCAGAAAAUCACCGUGGUCCCUAAAAACUCGUUCUCUCCGGAUUUGUCCAUUGAAAAUGUCUUCUAAUAAAGCCAAAGCUGCCAUUGCUA